RNAcentral lists this ribosomal RNA (253 nucleotides) under uncultured bacterium. RNAcentral's name for it is "partial 16S ribosomal RNA". It matches the Rfam family "Bacterial small subunit ribosomal RNA", at positions 524 to 776 of the family's 1533-position model. The record is from RNAcentral.
UACAGAGGGUGCAAGCGUUGUUCGGAAUUACUGGGCGUAAAGCGCACGUAGGCGGCUUUGUAAGUUAGAGGUGAAAGCCCGGGGCUCAACCCCGGAAUUGCCUUUAAGACUGCAUCGCUUGAAUCCGGGAGAGGUGAGUGGAAUUCCGAGUGUAGAGGUGAAAUUCGUAGAUAUUCGGAAGAACACCAGUGGCGAAGGCGGCUCACUGGACCGGCAUUGACGCUGAGGUGCGAAAGCGUGGGGAGCAAACAGG